GUCGAGGGGAAACGAAAGAAAAAGCUUGCUUUUUCUGGGCGCCGACCGGCGCACGGGUGAGUAACCCCCUUCCAACCUGCCCAUCACUUGGGGAUAACCUUGCAAAAGUAAAACUAAUACCCAAUGACGUCUCUAGAAGACAUCUGAAGGAGAUUAAAGAUUUAUCGGUGAUGGAUGGGGAUGCGUCUGAUUAGCUUGUUGGCGGGGUAACGGCCCACCAAGGCAACAAUCAGUAGGGGUUCUGAGAGGAAGGCCCCCCACAUUGGAACUGAGACACGGCCCAAACUCCUACGGGAGGCAUUUUUGAGGAAUAUUGGUCAAGGGACGAGAGUCUGAACCAGCCAAGUAGCGGGCAGGAUGACGGCCCUAUGGGUUGUAAACUGCUUUUAUAAGGG
RNAcentral lists this ribosomal RNA (395 nucleotides) under uncultured bacterium. RNAcentral's name for it is "bacterial SSU rRNA". It matches the Rfam family "Bacterial small subunit ribosomal RNA", at positions 61 to 444 of the family's 1533-position model. The record is from RNAcentral.